AUGGCCAUAAAAGUGUCAAUAGACGUCAAAGGCCCGAGGAUGGCCAGUCAGCUCCCACGGGCCUGCUUCCCAAAAAAGGUGACCACUCCUGUGCCGGUCCACACGCCUGGGCACCGGGUGUCACUACCGGCUGCGCAGAAGAAUCCAGAAGGCCAGUUAGAGCAGGUUCUGCCCUUUCGGGCCUCCUGCGGGCCCUUUCUUCUGCGUUCACCAUCUGUGCGGACACCCAGUGGGUGGCGCGACCUAGAAGAGGCGUCCUGCCGCGACGGCGCCUGCACCAGGCGCCCAGUAAGGCUGGGUAGCCGAGGCCGGGGUCGCCAGGCCCCGCCCUCACGGCGUGUCCCUUCCUUCCCCACAGCCACGUCCCCGUGCAAGAUUCUCAAGUGCAACUCUGAGUUCUGGAGCGCCACGUCGGGGAGCCACGCCGCCGUCCCGGACGACGCCCCCGAGUUCUGCGCGGCCCUGCGCACCUACGCCCUGUGCACGCGGCGGACGGCCCGCACCUGCCGGGGCGACCUGGCCUACCACUCGGCGGUCCAUGGCAUAGAGGACCUCAUGAGCCAGCACAACUGCUCCAAGGAUGGCCCCACCUCGCAGCCGCGCCUGCGCACGCUCCCGCCGGCGGGGGACAGCCAGGAGCGCUCGGACAGCCCCGAGGUCUGCCACUACGAGAAGAGCUUCCACAGGCAGGCGGCCGCCCCCAACUACACGCACUGCGGCCUGUUCGGGGACCCGCACCUCAGGACUUUCACAGACCGCUUCCAGACCUGCAAGGUUCAGGGCGCCUGGCCGCUUAUCGACAAUAAUUACCUGAACGUGCAGGUCACCAACACGCCCGUGCUGCCCGGCUCGGCUGCCACUGCCACCAGCAAGGUGAGGGGGAGGGCGGGCCGCGGGGACACAGCCCUGAUCUUUGCGUCUUUGCGCGGUGGAGACAGAGACCCGGGGGCCAUGGUGUCUGGGAAUGGGGGGAGAGGGAGCUGA
Molecule: RNA transcript, 984 nt
Organism: Carlito syrichta (Philippine tarsier)
Lineage: Eukaryota; Metazoa; Chordata; Mammalia; Primates; Tarsiidae
Gene name: repulsive guidance molecule A pseudogene
Exons: 1
Source: RefSeq, a predicted model, not a curated record